CGGUAAAACGUAGGAGGCGAGCGUUAUCCGGAUUCACUGGGCGUAAAGCGCGUGCAGGCGGUCUGGUAAGUUGGGCGUGAAAGCUCCCGGCUCAACUGGGAGAGGUCGUUCAAGACUGCCAGACUAGAGAGCGGUAGAGGAAAAUGGAAUUCCCGGUGUAGUGGUGAAAUGCGUAGAUAUCGGGAGGAACACCAGUGGCGAAGGCGAUUUUCUGGACCGUUUCUGACGCUCAGACGCGAAAGCUAGGGUAGCAAACGGGAUUAGAGACCCCGGUAGUCCUAGCCGUAAACGAUGUGAACUUGGCGUUGGUGGCUUAAACUCCAUCAGUGCCGUAGCUAACGCGAUAGGUUCACCGCCUGGGGACUACGACCGCAAGGUUAAAACUCAAAGGAAUUGACGGGGACCCGCACAAGCAGCGGAGCGUGUGGUUUAAUUCGAUGCUACACGAAGAACCUUACCCGGGCUUGACAUGACGAUGAACGAUUGCGAAAGCAUGAGGCUCCCGCAAGGGACAUCGCCACAGGUGUUGCAUGGCUGUCGUCAGCUCGUGUCGUGAGAUGUUCGGUUAAGUCCGCUAACGAGCGCAACCCUCGCUGUAUGUUAUACGUGUCAUACAGGACCGCCGGUAUCAAGCCGGAGGAAGGUGGGGAUGACGUCAAGUCAGCAUGGCCUUUAUGUCCGGGGCUACACACACGCUACAAUGGCCGGUACAAUGGGUUGCCAAACCGCGAGGUGGAGCCAAUCCCCCAAAACCGGUCUCAGUUCAGAUUGCAGGCUGCAACUCGCCUGCAUGAAGCCGGAGUUGCUAGUAAACGCGCGUCAGCUAUAGUGCGUUGAAUACGUUCUCGGG
This 850-nucleotide ribosomal RNA is filed under the name uncultured bacterium. RNAcentral's name for it is "bacterial SSU rRNA". It matches the Rfam family "Bacterial small subunit ribosomal RNA", at positions 518 to 1378 of the family's 1533-position model. The record is from RNAcentral.